Molecule: ribosomal RNA, 729 nt
Filed under: Nocardiopsis sp. YIM 64617
Lineage: Bacteria; Bacillati; Actinomycetota; Actinomycetes; Streptosporangiales; Nocardiopsidaceae
Description: bacterial SSU rRNA
Rfam family: Bacterial small subunit ribosomal RNA
Source: RNAcentral
GGCCCUUCGGGGUACACGAGCGGCGAACGGGUGAGUAACACGUGAGCAACCUGCCCCUGACUCUGGGAUAAGCGGUGGAAACGCCGUCUAAUACCGGAUACGACCUUCCGCCUCAUGGUGGAGGGUGGAAAGUUUUUUCGGUCAGGGAUGGGCUCGCGGCCUAUCAGCUUGUUGGUGGGGUAACGGCCUACCAAGGCGAUUACGGGUAGCCGGCCUGAGAGGGCGACCGGCCACACUGGGACUGAGACACGGCCCAGACUCCUGCGGGAGGCAGCAGUGGGGAAUAUUGCGCAAUGGGCGAAAGCCUGACGCAGCGACGCCGCGUGGGGGAUGACGGCCUUCGGGUUGUAAACCUCUUUUACCACCAACGCAGGCUCCGGGUUCUCUCGGGGUUGACGGUAGGUGGGGAAUAAGGACCGGCUAACUACGUGCCAGCAGCCGCGGUAAUACGUAGGGUCCGAGCGUUGUCCGGAAUUAUUGGGCGUAAAGAGCUCGUAGGCGGCGUGUCGCGUCUGCUGUGAAAGACCGGGGCUUAACUCCGGUUCUGCAGUGGAUACGGGCAUGCUAGAGGUAGGUAGGGGAGACUGGAAUUCCUGGUGUAGCGGUGAAAUGCGCAGAUAUCAGGAGGAACACCGGUGGCGAAGGCGGGUCUCUGGGCCUUACCUGACGCUGAGGAGCGAAAGCAUGGGGAGCGAACAGGAUUAGAUACCCUGGUAGUCCAUGCCGUAA